AGUGAACGCUGGCGGUAGGCCUAACACAUGCAAGUCGAACGGCAGCACAGUAAGAGCUUGCUCUUACGGGUGGCGAGUGGCGGACGGGUGAGGAAUACAUCGGAAUCUACUUUUUCGUGGGGGAUAACGUAGGGAAACUUACGCUAAUACCGCAUACGACCUACGGGUGAAAGCAGGGGAUCUUCGGACCUUGCGCGAUUGAAUGAGCCGAUGUCGGAUUAGCUAGUUGGCGGGGUAAAGGCCCACCAAGGCGACGAUCCGUAGCUGGUCUGAGAGGAUGAUCAGCCACACUGGAACUGAGACACGGUCCAGACGCCUAAGGGAGGCCGCAGUGGGGAAUAUUGGACAAUGGGCGCAAGCCUGAUCCAGCCAUCCCGCGUGGGUGAAGAAGGCGUUCGGGUUGUAAAGCCCUUUUGUUGGGAAAGAAACGCAGCAGGUUAAUACCCCGCUGUUCUGACGGUACCCACAGAAUAAGCACCGGCUAACUUCGUG
RNAcentral lists this ribosomal RNA (492 nucleotides) under uncultured bacterium. RNAcentral describes it as "partial 16S ribosomal RNA". It matches the Rfam family "Bacterial small subunit ribosomal RNA", at positions 29 to 507 of the family's 1533-position model. The record is from RNAcentral.